Molecule: non-coding RNA, 865 nt
Organism: Neogale vison (American mink)
Lineage: Eukaryota; Metazoa; Chordata; Mammalia; Carnivora; Mustelidae
Source: the annotation of a RefSeq genome assembly
AUGGACCCAGGGAGCGGGGCCGGCGGGAGAGGGCAGCGCCAGAUUCUUGUGCUGGGGCUCCGGGCCGUGAGUGGAGAAACUCAGUAUUUCGGCAGGGGCACCCGGCUGACGGUGCUAGAGAAUCUGGAAAAGGUCAAACCUCCCACGGUCACAGUGUUUGAACCAUCCGAAGCAGAGACCUCCCGAACCCAGAAGGCCACACUCGUGUGCCUGGCCACCGGCUUCUACCCCGACCACGUGGAGCUGAGCUGGUGGGUGAACGGGAAGGAGGUCCAGAAUGGGGUCAGCACGGACCCCCAGCCCUACAAGGAGCGGCUGGAUGAGAAUGACUCCAGCUACUGUCUGAGCAGCCGGCUGAGGGUGUCCUCUGCCUUCUGGCACAACCCUCGCAACCACUUUCGCUGCCAAGUCCAGUUCCACGGGCUCGGGGACAAUGACGAGUGGCAGAACAGCCAACGGGCCAAACCCGUCACCCAGAACAUCAGUGCCGAGGCCUGGGGCAGAGCAGACUGUGGCUUCACUUCGGUGUCCUAUCAGCAGGGCAUCCUGUCUGCCACCAUCUUCUAUGCGAUCCUGCUGGGGAAGGCCACCCUGUACGCUAUGCUGGUCGGUGCCCUGGUGCUGAUGGCCAAGGUCAAGAGAAAGUGUUCCUGAGACCAGCUCAGAAAAUACACCCUGAAUCGCUCAUCCUCCUCUCCGAGAUCUCCCUAACGUGCUCCAGUCUGUGUUUCUAGAAGUUAUUCUCUCUCCACCUCUUAUCUCCUUCCUGCUGGGAGAUCUGUCCCUUCUCUCCGCUUUCCUGCAGACUGAGCUCCUCAACCCUGAAACGGAAACAGACUGAAACAAUAAAAGUGUCCUGCCAGGC